Diabrotica virgifera virgifera (western corn rootworm) is the source of this 1176-nucleotide long non-coding RNA. RefSeq lists it as uncharacterized. NCBI's taxonomy places the organism in Eukaryota, Metazoa, Arthropoda, Insecta, Coleoptera, Chrysomelidae. The record is from RefSeq and is a predicted model, not a curated record. The transcript is spliced from 4 exons.
AAGAUCUACAUCUUUGGUUUUUUCAUAAACAUUAUCUUACUUACUCUAAAGUAAUUAGGGAAUUAAAACUUGAGAAUGGCAUUGUCAGGUUGGGCGUAGAUUUACGUUCCUGCUAUGUCUAGGUCUCGAAUGUUGUUUUUUGAUUGGAAUGUGUCUGAAGAUAUUCAAACUCUCAUCUUCACCGAUGAGCCCAUAGAGGUUGAAGAGGGCGAAACACAUUUCUAAGAGCUGGUGUUUGGAUCUUCGAUUCUAUUCAAAAAAAUUUUCCCAGCCCGAAGUAGUGGAUGUGUGAAUUGUUCGUAAGGGGAUUUUUCCGCAUUCUCUAUUUCAUUUGUUUGUUUUCGUACGAGUGGUCGUCCAAACCAGUACCUGUGGAUCUUUUGAUCACUGAGUGUGUUUCAAAGAUCUACAUCUUUGGUUUUUUCAUAAACAUUAUCUUACUUACUCUACAGUAAUUAGGGAAUUAAAACUUGAGAAUGGCAUUGUCAGGUUGGGCGUAGAUUUACGUUCCUGCUAUGUCUAGGUCUCGAAUGUUGUUUUUUGAUUGGAAUGUGUCUGAAGAUAUUCAACCUCUCAUCUUCACCGAUGAGCCCAUAGAGGUUGAAGAGGGCGAAACACAUUUCUAAGAGCUGGUGUUUGGAUCUUCGAUUCUAUUCAAAAAAAUUUUCCCAGCCCGAAGUAGUGGAUGUGUGAAUUGUUCGUAAGGGGAUUUUUCCGCAUUCUCUAUUUCAUUUGUUUGUUUUCGUACGAGUGGUCGUCCAAACCAGUACCUGUGGAUCUUUUGAUCACUGAGUGUGUUUCAAAGAUCUACAUCUUUUGUUUUUUCAUAAACAUUAUCUUACUUACUCUAAAGUAAUUAGGGAAUUAAAACUUGAGAAUGGCAUUGUCAGGUUGGGCGUAGAUUUACGUUCCUGCUAUGUCUAGGUCUCGAAUGUUGUUUUUUGAUUGGAAUGUGUCUGAAAAUAUUCAACCUCUCAUCUUCACCGAUGAGCCCAUAGAGGUUGAAGAGGGCGAAACACAUUUCUAAGAGCUGGUGUUUGGAUCUUCGAUUCUAUUCAAAAAAUAUUUCCCAGCCCGAAGUAGUGGAUGUGUGAAUUGUUCGUAAGGGGAUUUUUCCGCAUUCUCUAUUUCAUUUGUUUGUUUUCGUACGAGUGGUCGUCCAAACCAGUACCUGUG